Molecule: ribosomal RNA, 717 nt
Filed under: Lactococcus lactis
Lineage: Bacteria; Bacillati; Bacillota; Bacilli; Lactobacillales; Streptococcaceae
Description: bacterial SSU rRNA
Rfam family: Bacterial small subunit ribosomal RNA
Source: RNAcentral
AUACAUGCAAGUUGAGCGCUGAAGGUUGGUACUUGUACCAACUGGAUGAGCAGCGAACGGGUGAGUAACGCGUGGGGAAUCUGCCUUUGAGUGGGGGACAACAUUUGGAAACGAAUGCUAAUACCGCAUAAAAACUUUAAACACAAGUUUUAAGUUUGAAAGAUGCAAUUGCAUCACUCAAAGAUGAUCCCGCGUUGUAUUAGCUAGUUGGUGAGGUAAAGGCUCACCAAGGCGAUGAUACAUAGCCGACCUGAGAGGGUGAUCGGCCACAUUGGGACUGAGACACGGCCCAAAUCUCCUACGGGAGGCAGCAGUAGGGAAUCUUCGGCAAUGGACGAAAGUCUGACCGAGCAACGCCGCGUGAGUGAAGAAGGUUUUCGGAUCGUAAAACUCUGUUGGUAGAGAAGAACGUUGGUGAGAGUGGAAAGCUCAUCAAGUGACGGUAACUACCCAGAAAGGGACGGCUAACUACGUGCCAGCAGCCGCGGUAAUACGUAGGUCCCGAGCGUUGUCCGGAUUUAUUGGGCGUAAAGCGAGCGCAGGUGGUUUAUUAAGUCUGGUGUAAAAGGCAGUGGCUCAACCAUUGUAUGCAUUGGAAACUGGUAGACUUGAGUGCAGGAGAGGAGAGUGGAAUUCCAUGUGUAGCGGUGAAAUGCGUAGAUAUAUGGAGGAACACCGGUGGCGAAAGCGGCUCUCUGGCCUGUAACAUGACACUGA